UGUGUGUUCCAGGUAAAUCCGGUUCACUUUAACACUGAGGCGUGAUGACGAGGCACUACGGUGCUGAAGCAACAAAUGCCCUGCUUCCAGGAAAAGCCUCUAAGCAUCAGGUAACAUCAAAUCGUACCCCAAACCGACACAGGUGGUCAGGUAGAGAAUACCAAGGCGCUUGAGAGAACUCGGGUGAAGGAACUAGGCAAAAUGGUGCCGUAACUUCGGGAGAAGGCACGCUGACACGUAGGUGAAGUGAUUUACUCAUGGAGCUGAAGUCAGUCGAAGAUACCAGCUGGCUGCAACUGUUUAUUAAAAACACAGCACUGUGCAAACACGAAAGUGGACGUAUACGGUGUGACGCCUGCCCGGUGCCGGAAGGUUAAUUGAUGGGGUCAGCGCAAGCGAAGCUCCUGAUCGAAGCCCCGGUAAACGGCGGCCGUAACUAUAACGGUCCUAAGGUAGCGAAAUUCCUUGUCGGGUAAGUUCCGACCUGCACGAAUGGCGUAAUGAUGGCCAGGCUGUCUCCACCCGAGACUCAGUGAAAUUGAACUCGCUGUGAAGAUGCAGUGUACCCGCGGCAAGACGGAAAGACCCCGUGAACCUUUACUAUAGCUUGACACUGAACAUUGAGCCUUGAUGUGUAGGAUAGGUGGGAGGCUUUGAAGCGUGGACGCCAGUCUGCGUGGAGCCGACCUUGAAAUACCACCCUUUAAUGUUUGAUGUUCUAACGUGGACCCGUAAUCCGGGUUGCGGACAGUGUCUGGUGGGUAGUUUGACUGGGGCGGUCUCCUCCUAAAGAGUAACGGAGGAGCACGAAGGUUGGCUAAUCCUGGUCGGACAUCAGGAGGUUAGUGCAAUGGCAUAAGCCAGCUUGACUGCGAGCGUGACGGCGCGAGCAGGUGCGAAAGCAGGUCAUAGUGAUCCGGUGGUUCUGAAUGGAAGGGCCAUCGCUCAACGGAUAAAAGGUACUCCGGGGAUAACAGGCUGAUACCGCCCAAGAGUUCAUAUCGACGGCGGUGUUUGGCACCUCGAUGUCGGCUCAUCACAUCCUGGGGCUGAAGUAGGUCCCAAGGGUAUGGCUGUUCGCCAUUUAAAGUGGUACGCGAGCUGGGUUUAGAACGUCGUGAGACAGUUCGGUCCCUAUCUGCCGUGGGCGCUGGAGAACUGAGGGGGGCUGCUCCUAGUACGAGAGGACCGGAGUGGACGCAUCACUGGUGUUCGGGUUGUCAUGCCAAUGGCACUGCCCGGUAGCUAAAUGCGGAAGAGAUAAGUGCUGAAAGCAUCUAAGCACGAAACUUGCCCCGA
RNAcentral lists this ribosomal RNA (1299 nucleotides) under Salmonella enterica subsp. enterica serovar Newport. RNAcentral describes it as "partial 23S ribosomal RNA". It matches the Rfam family "Bacterial large subunit ribosomal RNA", at positions 1525 to 2802 of the family's 2925-position model. The record is from RNAcentral. Lineage: Bacteria; Pseudomonadati; Pseudomonadota; Gammaproteobacteria; Enterobacterales; Enterobacteriaceae.